Long non-coding RNA from Suricata suricatta (meerkat), 443 nucleotides. RefSeq lists it as uncharacterized. The transcript has 3 exons. NCBI's taxonomy places the organism in Eukaryota, Metazoa, Chordata, Mammalia, Carnivora, Herpestidae. The record is from RefSeq and is a predicted model, not a curated record.
AUUACCAGCCAGGACGGCACAGAGUUAUCCCAGAACUCUAAAUGUGCGGCCCCGAGUCCAAGGACUCAGGGCUUUUUACAGCGAGCAAGCAGGCAAGUGGGCAGUGCAGAAGCAGAACUGAGCGGUUACUGCAAAAAGACUACAAAGUGAUAAAGAGAGCGGCCCUUAUCCUGGACAUAAGCUUCAUGAGGGCAGGAUUUCAUUCUGCUCACUGCCAUGUCCUCAGCUCCUAGAACGAUGCCUGAUGCACCAAAUGUGUCUUCAGAAUACAGUGAACUCUGGACGCCUGGCUGACUCAGUCGGCAGAGCAUAUGACCCUUGAUCUCAUGGUGAAAGGGUACAGAGGAUCCCAAAUAGGCACCACGCUGACAGUAGCAAGCCUGAUGUGGAGCCUGAACUCACGAACUGCAAGAUCAUAGCCUGAGCCAAAGCCAGACACUAAA